Tachyglossus aculeatus (Australian echidna) is the source of this 138-nucleotide small nucleolar RNA. The record is from RefSeq and is a predicted model, not a curated record. NCBI's taxonomy places the organism in Eukaryota, Metazoa, Chordata, Mammalia, Monotremata, Tachyglossidae.
UCCCUCUCAGGAUGGCACCUGGAGAGUUUCCAGUACUCUAUCAGUCUCAGCUACGGGAGGGAGAGUCCAACAGAGGUAUACGCAUUCCAUUCCUAGCUUGGGCAGUGGCUAGCAAGUGGAAGGCAAUAUGCUACAAGU